CCUACGGGCGGCUGCAGGCGCGGUAAUACGGAGGGUGCAAGCGUUACUCGGAAUCACUGGGCGUAAAGAGCGUGUAGGCGGGUAUACAAGUCAGAAGUGAAAUCCAAUAGCUUAACUAUUGAACUGCUUUUGAAACUGUAUACCUAGAAUGUGGGAGAGGUAGAUGGAAUUUCUGGUGUAGGGGUAAAAUCCGUAGAGAUCAGAAGGAAUACCGAUUGCGAAGGCGAUCUACUGGAACAUUAUUGACGCUGAGACGCGAAAGCGUGGGGAGCAAACAGGAUUAGAUACCCUUGUAGUC
Molecule: ribosomal RNA, 298 nt
Filed under: uncultured Arcobacter sp.
Lineage: Bacteria; Pseudomonadati; Campylobacterota; Epsilonproteobacteria; Campylobacterales; Arcobacteraceae
Description: partial 16S ribosomal RNA
Rfam family: Bacterial small subunit ribosomal RNA
Source: RNAcentral